AGAGAGAGACAUGCGCGCAUAUCAAUAAGCGGAGGAAAAGAAACUAACAAGGAUUCCCUUAGUAACGGCGAGUGGAGCGGGAAGAGCUCAAAUUUGAAAUCUUCAAGGUUUCACCUUGACGAAUUGUAGUUUAAAGAAGUGUUUUCUGCUGAAGUUUUGGUAAAAGUUCUUUGGAAUAGGACAUCAUAGAGGGCGAGAAUCCCGUAUUUGACCAUUAUUUUCAGCUUUGUGAUACACUUUCAAAGAGUCGGAUUGUUUGGGAAUGCAGUCCAAAAUGGGUGGUAAAUUUCAUCUAAAGCUAAAUAUUGGCGAGAGACCGAUAGCGAACAAGUACCGUGAGGGAAAGAUGAAAAGAACUUUGAAAAGAGAGUUAAACAGUACGUGAAAUUGUCAAAAGGGAAGCGUUUGACACCAGUGUUGUUUUCUCGAAAAUCAAUUAAAAAUGGCUCGAUUUUGUAUUGCUUGAGACCUUAAAAGCUCACUGUACAUUUUUCGUGUCUUUUUUAAUGCACUUUUCGUUUAACAAGUCAACAUCAGUUUCUUUUGUUGUAAAAGGGUCAUUGGAAGGUGGCUUUCUUUUCGGAGAAAGUGUUUAUAGCCUUUGGCCUCUGCAAUCGGAGAGACUGAGGUCUGCAGCGUAGACUCUUCGGGGUUAGAUACAUUUGUGCUAAGUUAUAGCUUUUUAUAGACAACUUGUUGACUAUAAUUAGUCUUGUAGCUUACUCGCUUAUGCUAUUUUACCUACGCUUAGGAUGUUGAGUCGUAGAGCACGCAG
This 775-nucleotide ribosomal RNA is filed under the name uncultured Neocallimastigales. RNAcentral's name for it is "partial large subunit ribosomal RNA". It matches the Rfam family "Eukaryotic large subunit ribosomal RNA", at positions 23 to 626 of the family's 3401-position model. The record is from RNAcentral. Lineage: Eukaryota; Fungi; Neocallimastigomycota; Neocallimastigomycetes; Neocallimastigales.